Molecule: ribosomal RNA, 310 nt
Filed under: uncultured bacterium
Lineage: Bacteria
Description: partial 16S ribosomal RNA
Rfam family: Bacterial small subunit ribosomal RNA
Source: RNAcentral
AAGAGACAGCAGUCGCCGCGGGAACACGUAGGUGGCAAGCGUUGUCCGGAAUUAUUGGGCGUAAAGGGCUCGCAGGCGGUUUCUUAAGUCUGAUGUGAAAGCCCCCGGCUCAACCGGGGAGGGUCAUUGGAAACUGGGAAACUUGAGUGCAGAAGAGGAGAGUGGAAUUCCACGUGUAGCGGUGAAAUGCGUAGAGAUGUGGAGGAACACCAGUGGCGAAGGCGACUCUCUGGUCUGUAACUGACGCUGAGGAGCGAAAGCGUGGGGAGCGAACAGGAUUAGAUACCCCCGUAGUCCCUGUCUCUUAUAC